UACGUAGGGUGCAAGCGUUGCCCGGAUUUAUUGGGCGUAAAGGGCGCGUAGGCGGCUCUGCACGUUCGUUGUGAAAUCGCCCGGCUCAACUGGGCGGGGUCAGCGGAUACGGCAGAGCUUGAGCAAGCUAGGGGGCAAUGGAAUUCCCGGUGUAGUGGUGGAAUGCGUAGAUAUCGGGAAGAACACCCGUGGCGAAGGCGGUUCUCUGGGACGGUACUGGACGCUGAGACGCGAAAGCGUGGGGAGCGAACAGG
RNAcentral lists this ribosomal RNA (254 nucleotides) under uncultured bacterium. Its description in RNAcentral is "partial 16S ribosomal RNA". It matches the Rfam family "Bacterial small subunit ribosomal RNA", at positions 524 to 776 of the family's 1533-position model. The record is from RNAcentral.